This is a non-coding RNA of Cyanobacterium aponinum PCC 10605, 380 nucleotides long. The record is from Rfam. NCBI's taxonomy places the organism in Bacteria, Bacillati, Cyanobacteriota, Cyanophyceae, Chroococcales, Geminocystaceae.
AGAGUCAUGGAGGUAGUUGCGAACUAAACUUUUCCUGUGAGGUUUAAGAUUUAGUUUGAGGAAAGUCCGGACUCCCGAAAGACCAAACCUGCUGGGUAACGCCCAGUGCGCGCGAGCGUGAGGAUAGUGCCACAGAAAAAUACCGCCUCCGAUUAGAGGUAAGGGUGCAAAGGUGAGGGUAAGAGCCCACCAGCAGUAUCGAGAGGUACUGGCUCGGUAAACCCCGGUUGGGAGCAAGGUCGAAGGAAUUAUGGUUGGUCUUUUCCCGAUUCCGCUUUUGGUGUACCGCUUGAGGUGAUUAGUAAUAUUCAUCCCAGAUAGAUAACUACCCCUUUAAUUUAUUUAAAGGAACAGAAUCCGGCUUAUGAGUGACUCUUCUU